Molecule: ribosomal RNA, 424 nt
Filed under: uncultured Parabacteroides sp.
Lineage: Bacteria; Pseudomonadati; Bacteroidota; Bacteroidia; Bacteroidales; Tannerellaceae
Description: bacterial SSU rRNA
Rfam family: Bacterial small subunit ribosomal RNA
Source: RNAcentral
CCUACGGGAGGCAGCAGUGGGGAAUAUUGCACAAUGGGGGAAACCCUGAUGCAGCGACGCCGCGUGAGUGAAGAAGUAUUUCGGUAUGUAAAGCUCUAUCAGCAGGGAAGAUAAUGACGGUACCUGACUAAGAAGCACCGGCUAAAUACGUGCCAGCAGCCGCGGUAAUACGUAUGGUGCAAGCGUUAUCCGGAUUUACUGGGCGUAAAGCGCGUCUAGGCGGUUUAGUAAGUCUGAUGUGAAAAUGCGGGGCUCAACCCCGUAUUGCGUUGGAAACUGCUAAACUAGAGUACUGGAGAGGUAGGCGGAACUACAAGUGUAGAGGUGAAAUUCGUAGAUAUUUGUAGGAAUGCCGAUGGGGAAGCCAGCCUACUGGACAGAUACUGACGCUAAAGCGCGAAAGCGUGGGUAGCAAACAGGAUUA